RNAcentral lists this ribosomal RNA (668 nucleotides) under Cercospora sp. RNAcentral's name for it is "partial large subunit ribosomal RNA". It matches the Rfam family "Eukaryotic large subunit ribosomal RNA", at positions 92 to 789 of the family's 3401-position model. The record is from RNAcentral. Lineage: Eukaryota; Fungi; Ascomycota; Dothideomycetes; Mycosphaerellales; Mycosphaerellaceae.
AGUGAAGCGGCAACAGCUCAAAUUUGAAAUCUGGCGCAAGCCCGAGUUGUAAUUUGUAGAGGAUGCUUCUGGGUAGCGACCGAUCUAAGUUCCUUGGAACAGGACGUCAUAGAGGGUGAGAAUCCCGUAUGUGACCGGCCCGCACCCUUUACGUAGCUCCUUCGACGAGUCGAGUUGUUUGGGAAUGCAGCUCUAAAUGGGAGGUAAAUUUCUUCUAAAGCUAAAUACCGGCCAGAGACCGAUAGCGCACAAGUAGAGUGAUCGAAAGAUGAAAAGUACUUUGGAAAGAGAGUUAAAAAGCACGUGAAAUUGUUGAAAGGGAAGCGCCUGCAACCAGACUUCGCGGCAGUGUUCCGCCGGUCUUCUGACCGGUUCAUUCUCUGUCGCGAGGCCAUCAUCGUCUGGGCCCGCCGGAUAAGACCUGAGGAAUGUGGCUCCCCCUCGGGGGAGUGUUAUAGCCUCUGGUGAUGCGGCGUGGCUCGGGCGAGGUCCGCGCUUCGGCAAGGAUGAUGGCGUAAUGGUUGUCGGCGGCCCGUCUUGAAACACGGACCAAGGAGUCUAACAUCUAUGCGAGUGUUCGGGUGUCAAACCCCUACGCGUAAUGAAAGUGAACGGAGGUGGGAACCGCAAGGUGCACCAUCGACCGAUCCUGAUGUCCUCGGAUGGAU